Molecule: ribosomal RNA, 301 nt
Filed under: uncultured bacterium
Lineage: Bacteria
Description: partial 16S ribosomal RNA
Rfam family: Bacterial small subunit ribosomal RNA
Source: RNAcentral
CAGUAGCCGCGGUAAUACGUAGGUCCCGAGCGUUGUCCGGAUUUAUUGGGCGUAAAGCGAGCGCAGGCGGUUAGAUAAGUCUGAAGUUAAAGGCUGUGGCUUAACCAUAGUAUGCUUUGGAAACUGUUUAACUUGAGUGCAGAAGGGGAGAGUGGAAUUCCAUGUGUAGCGGUGAAAUGCGUAGAUAUAUGGAGGAACACCGGUGGCGAAAGCGGCUCUCUGGUCUGUAACUGACGCUGAGGCUCGAAAGCGUGGGGAGCAAACAGGAUUAGAUACCCGCGUAGUCCCUGUCUCUUAUACA